AUUGAACGCUGGCGGCAUGCCUUACACAUGCAAAUCGAACGGUAACGGGCCUUCGGGUGCCGACGAGUGGCGAACGGGUGAGUAAUACAUCGGAACGUGCCCGAUCGUGGGGGAUAACGAGGCGAAAGCUUUGCUAAUACCGCAUACGAUCUACGGAUGAAAGCAGGGGACCGCAAGACCUUGCGCGGACGGAGCGGCCGAUGGCAGAUUAGGUAGUUGGUGGGAUAAAAGCUUACCAAGCCGACGAUCUGUAGCUGGUCUGAGAGGAUGAUCAGCCACACUGGGACUGAGACACGGCCCAGACUCCUGCGGGAGGCAGCAGUGGGGAAUUUUGGACAAUGGGCGCAAGCCUGAUCCAGCCAUGCCGCGUGCAGGAUGAAGGCCUUCGGGUUGUAAACUGAUUUUGUACGGAACGAAAAGCCUUCUUUUAAUACAGGAGGGUCAUGACGGUACCGUAAGAAUAAGCACCGGCUAACUACGCG
This 482-nucleotide ribosomal RNA is filed under the name uncultured bacterium. RNAcentral describes it as "partial 16S ribosomal RNA". It matches the Rfam family "Bacterial small subunit ribosomal RNA", at positions 30 to 507 of the family's 1533-position model. The record is from RNAcentral.